This 253-nucleotide ribosomal RNA is filed under the name uncultured bacterium. RNAcentral's name for it is "partial 16S ribosomal RNA". It matches the Rfam family "Bacterial small subunit ribosomal RNA", at positions 524 to 776 of the family's 1533-position model. The record is from RNAcentral.
UACGGGGGGAGCUAGCGUUGUUCGGAAUUACUGGGCGUAAAGCGCACGUAGGCGGCUUUGUAAGGUAGAGGUGAAAGCCUGGAGCUCAACUCCAGAAUUGCCUUUAAGACUGCAUCGCUCGAAUCCAGGAGAGGUGAGUGGAAUUCCGAGUGUAGAGGUGAAAUUCGUAGAUAUUCGGAAGAACACCAGUGGCGAAGGCGGCUCACUGGACUGGUAUUGACGCUGAGGUGCGAAAGCGUGGGGAGCAAACAGG